Molecule: ribosomal RNA, 192 nt
Filed under: uncultured bacterium
Lineage: Bacteria
Description: partial 16S ribosomal RNA
Rfam family: Bacterial small subunit ribosomal RNA
Source: RNAcentral
GCAACUCGCCUGCAUGAAGUCGGAAUUGCUAGUAAUCGCGGAUCAGCAUGCCGCGGUGAAUACGUUCUCGGGCCUUGUACACACCGCCCGUCACACCAUGGGAGUCGGUAACACCCGAAGUCUGUAGCCUGACGCAAGAGGGCGCAGCCGAAGGUGGGAUUGAUGACUGGGGUGAAGUCGUAACAAGGUAUC